This 131-nucleotide ribosomal RNA is filed under the name Melampsora larici-populina 98AG31. Its description in RNAcentral is "5.8S ribosomal RNA". It matches the Rfam family "5.8S ribosomal RNA". Rfam says of the family: 5.8S ribosomal RNA (5.8S rRNA) is a component of the large subunit of the eukaryotic ribosome. It is transcribed by RNA polymerase I as part of the 45S precursor that also contains 18S and 28S rRNA. Lineage: Eukaryota; Fungi; Basidiomycota; Pucciniomycetes; Pucciniales; Melampsoraceae. The record is from Rfam by way of RNAcentral.
AACUUUCAGCAAUGGAUCUCUAGGCUCUCACGUCGAUGAAGAACACAGUGAAAUGUGAUACAAUAUGUAAUAAGCUGAAAACCUUCACUUUUGACGAAAUUUACCCAUUGUCUUCACUUUUCACAGCUGCU